ACUAUUGUCACGGGUUACCGCGGCUGCUGGCACGGAGUUAGCCGGUGCUUCUUCUGUGAGUGAUGUCCUUCCUGCCGGCUAUUAACCCGCAGGCCUUCUUCCUCACUGAAAGUGCUUUACAACCCGAAGGCCUUCUUCACACACGCGGCAUGGCUGGAUCAGGGUUGCCCACAUUGUCCAAUAUUCCCCACUGCUGCCUCCCGUAGGAGUCUGGGCCGUGUCUCAGUCCCAGUGUGGCUGAUCAUCCUCUCAGACCAGCUACGGAUCGUCGCCUUGGUGAGCCGUUACCUCACCAACAGCUAAUCCGACAUAGGCUCAUCCGAUAGCGCGAGCCCGAAGGUCCCCCG
Molecule: ribosomal RNA, 347 nt
Filed under: uncultured bacterium
Lineage: Bacteria
Description: partial 16S ribosomal RNA
Source: RNAcentral